CGGCGGUCAAUGACGAUUGACCCCCACUGGGGGCAUUAGCACAUAACUGGUUGCAAUCUCUUUUCUGAGCUUCUGAUUUCAUACAUCCCUCCACGGAUCACCAAGAUGACAUUUCUCCACAGAAAAAUCAUCUGUGGCCUGUUUAAUGGUGAACUUGUGCAAGAAGUACAAAAAUUGGAGUCACAACCUGGACUUCUUCCUUCACACAAAGCUAACAGAAAUAUUAUAGGCCCUGAUACCUACUCCUAUUCAGAACACUACCAUCUUUUGGCAAUAAGUACCAAUCCAUUUUCCCCCCUUGAUGUCAAAAAGAAAACAUCAACAGCAGAAAGAGUACUUCACUAAUUCAACAGAACCGAACAAGACGGAGAAGCUAAAGUGGUAAAGUGGCUUAUAUGACUGGAUAUAGGUGGCCACACGUGGCGGAUUCUUCCUGGAAGCUCCAUGUAUUGUGAUUGGAUGCGAUUUAAGAGAUACCCAAUCACAGGACUGAAUGGAACUCUCAAUAUAAUGGCUCACAUAGAACUUCAGAUUCAGGUACCCAGACUAAUUGCAACUAAAUAAAUUACACGUCUUUAAGAAAAAUACAAUUGGGUCCAAGACUGGCUCACAUUGGUAUGGAGGGUGAGUCAUACAGUCAGUGGAGCAAAGGUUUGCGAAGUUCCCUUUCUUCUCUCGAGAUUCCACUGGGAGCUUUGAAUUGGCUCUGGCGCUCCACUGGGUUAUAGAGCUCCUGGGUGUAAACAAACAGGCAAUUGGCUUGGAGAUGGGACCGGAGGACACCCACUGACCUUCGGUUCUCCUGAGCUGUUCUGGGGAGUUGCUGAAGUGAGUGAACAUAAUUGGACAUUCUUAAUUGGGGAUAAAACCCGGAUGUACAUAAACAGGGCACUUUAAAUGUAUAUAAAAAUAAAUAAAUAAAUACAAAUAGACAAUUGGUCUUGUGUGAUUAACACACUCGAAUUUAACACCUGUGCCAAAGACCCAGCAAAGGGGACAGCCAUGUAAGGCAAAGAAAAUGCAUUGGCCUUUUAUCAGUUUGAAGUGGCAAAGCUGGCGAUAAGGGCCUUGACAGCCAUAAGGCAUGUGGUAUGUUUCAGCUGCUAACUCGAUUUAUAAAUAGGCCACUCUAGAAGUGUGACUGCCUGAGCGUGCACGGAAUGACACUGAUAAACUCUGGGCUAGCCGAACUAAAGCAAUGUCCCCUCAAGAGCUUGUCAAGAGCUAAAGAAAAUUAAUGACACUCUUAUGUCAAAGUGUGCAGGUCAGCACCUUUACAAACUAUAGAUUUUUCAAAUUCCUCAGAGCGAUGUGCAAAUAUCUUUCUGCUAAUUUGUAGAAUAACAUACAGUGACAUCUGGUGGCUAGAUGUUGUAAUUGCACCAAGGAUCUUUUUCAACUUAAGCAACCUGGUAACAAACUGUGCCUUGUUUGUUCCUGUUUGUUUUCGGCUAUGAAACAGUGCUUGAACUGCAGCUUUUCUUGUAUCUGGGUCUUAUUCCUGACGCUAUCCUGCUACAAUAGCAUAUGCGUAGUGUAGGGUAGCGUGACAUAUGCAUUUAUCACGGUAUAACUAUCAGGGGCAUCAAUUUUUGAUGGUUUUGAAAGAUGCAAAAUACAAUUGGGAUACCAUUAUAAUCCAGGAUGUUAUCCAGUAGAAACCUGAGCAGAACUAUUAGCAGACCACAGCACUGUCAGCAAUGGCAAGGGAUUUGGAUCCAAUUUUACAUACAGCGUGCAUUAUACAGCGUGCAUUAUUUUUAUACCAUUUUGAUACAUGAAACCAUGAAUGUUACCAGUGUUAUGCAAUAAAUACCCUACAGAUACCCAUAUGUUACCCUUUAGUUUUGCAUUCAUUGAAGGUGCCAGUGUUACACAUGCAUUGUCUUGGCUCACCAGGUAGAAGCUUGGCCGUGUGUGGUGUGCAGGCUGAGUCAUACAGUCAGGGGAGUGCUGGGAUAACAGCGGGAGCGUUGCUUGGGCUCUGGUGCUCAUGUAGUUUAAGAAGGCAAACCCUUCAGGGACUGAUUCUCCUUAUCAUGCUACAGCAGACCCUAUUGGCCAGGAGCCUGGUGAGCUCAAGCCAACACUUGCAGUGCUGGCCUUUGUAUCUCUUGAGACAUCUGCUCUCGAGUUCCUGGGGUAAAGGGGAAAUUGGAUUGGUUGUGGGCAAUGGCUGCGGUGAGAGAAAGUAA
Molecule: long non-coding RNA, 2195 nt
Organism: Acipenser ruthenus (sterlet)
Lineage: Eukaryota; Metazoa; Chordata; Actinopteri; Acipenseriformes; Acipenseridae
Exons: 4
Source: RefSeq, a predicted model, not a curated record